CCUACGGGAGGCAGCAGUUAGGAAUCUUCCGCAAUGGGCGCAAGCCUGAGGGAGCGACGCCGCUUGGAGGAAGAAGCCCUUCGGGGUGUAAACUCCUGAACCCAGGACGAAACCCCCGACGAGGGGACUGACGGUACCGGGGUAAUAGCGCCGCCCAACUCCGUGCCAGCAGCCGCGGUAAUACGGAGGGCGCGAGCGUUACUCGGAUUCACUGGGCGUAAAGGGCGUGUAGGCGGCCUGGGGCGUCCCAUGUCAAACACCACGGCUCAACCGUAGGGGAGCGUGGGAUUCGCUCAGGCUAUACGGUGGGAGAGGGUGGUGGAAUUCCCGGAGUAGCGGUGAAAUGCGCAGAUACGGGGAGGAACGCCCAUGGCGAAGGCAGCCACCUGGUCCACCCGUGGCGCUGAGGCGCGAAAGCGUGGGGAGCAAACCGGAUUAGAUACCCGGGUAGUCCACGCCCUAAACGAUGCGCGCUAGGUCUCUGGGUCCCCUCGGGGCCGAUCCUAACGCGUUAAGCGCGCCGCCUGGGGAGUACGGCCGCAAGGCUGAAACUUAAAGGAAUUGACGG
Molecule: ribosomal RNA, 568 nt
Filed under: uncultured Thermus sp.
Lineage: Bacteria; Thermotogati; Deinococcota; Deinococci; Thermales; Thermaceae
Description: bacterial SSU rRNA
Rfam family: Bacterial small subunit ribosomal RNA
Source: RNAcentral